AAGUCGUAACAAGGUCUCCGUUGGUGAACCAGCGGAGGGAUCAUUACCGAGUUUACAACUCCCAAACCCAAUGUGAACGUUACCAAACUGUUGCCUCGGCGGGAUCUCUGCCCCGGGUGCGUCGCAGCCCCGGACCAAGGCGCCCGCCGGAGGACCAACCAAAACUCUUAUUGUAUACCCCCUCGCGGGUUUUUUUUUUAUAAUCUGAGCCUUCUCGGCGCCUCUCGUAGGCGUUUCGAAAAUGAAUCAAAACUUUCAACAACGGAUCUCUUGGUUCUG
Molecule: unclassified non-coding RNA, 279 nt
Filed under: Trichoderma sp.
Lineage: Eukaryota; Fungi; Ascomycota; Sordariomycetes; Hypocreales; Hypocreaceae
Description: partial internal transcribed spacer region
Rfam family: Eukaryotic small subunit ribosomal RNA (bases 1-46)
Source: RNAcentral